UACGUAGGUGUCGAGCGUUGUCCGGAUUUACUGGGCGUAAAGGGCGUGCAGGCGGUUUGUUAAGUGCAGGGUGAAAGCUCCCGGCUCAACUGGGAGAGGUCCUUGCAUACUGGCGAACUCGAGGGAGGCAGAGGAAAGUGGAAUUCCCGGUGUAGUGGUGAUAUGCGUAGAUAUCCGGAGGAAUACCAGUGGCGAAGGCGGCUUUCUGGUCUGAUUCUGACGCUGAGGAGCGAAAGCCAGGGGAGCGAACGGG
RNAcentral lists this ribosomal RNA (253 nucleotides) under uncultured bacterium. RNAcentral's name for it is "partial 16S ribosomal RNA". It matches the Rfam family "Bacterial small subunit ribosomal RNA", at positions 524 to 776 of the family's 1533-position model. The record is from RNAcentral.